Molecule: ribosomal RNA, 406 nt
Filed under: uncultured bacterium
Lineage: Bacteria
Description: partial 16S ribosomal RNA
Rfam family: Bacterial small subunit ribosomal RNA
Source: RNAcentral
AUUGAACGCUGGCGGCAGGCUUAACACAUGCAAGUCGAGCGAGCGGCGGACGGGUGAGUAAUGUCUGGGAAACUGCCUGAUGGGGGGGGAUAACUACUGGAAACGGUAGCUAAUACCGCAUACCAUCAGAUGUGCCCAGAUGGGAUUAGCUAGUAGGUGGGGUAAGGGCUCACCUAGGCGACGACCCCUAGCUGGUCUGAGAGGGUGAACGCCAACACUGGACUUGCGAAACGGCCAGGCUUCCACCGGGAGGCACAAGUGGGGAAUAUUGCACAAUGAGCGCAAGCUUGAUGCAGCCAGGCGCGGUGUGUGAAGAAGGCCUUCGGGUUGUAAAGCACUUUCAGCGAGGAGGCGUUACUCGCAGAAGAAGCACCGGCUAACUCCGUGCCAGCAGCCGCGGUAAUAC